CCUACGGGCGGCAGCAGUGGGGAAUAUUGCACAAUGGGGGAAACCCUGAUGCAGCGACGCCGCGUGAGUGAAGAAGUAUUUCGGUACGUAAAGCUCUAUCAGCAGGGAAGAAAAUGACGGUACCUGACUAAGAAGCCCCGGCUAACUACGUGCCAGCAGCCGCGGUAAUACGUAGGGGGCAAGCGUUAUCCGGAUUUACUGGGUGUAAAGGGAGCGUAGACGGCAGCGCAAGUCUGGAGUGAAAUCCCAUGGCUUAACCAUGGAACUGCUUUGGAAACGGUGCAGCUAGAGUGCAGGAGGGGUAAGCGGAAUUCCUAGUGUAGCGGUGAAAUGCGUAGAUAUUAGGAGGAACACCAGUGGCGAAGGCGGCUUACUGGACUGUAACUGACGUUGAGGCUCGAAAGCGUGGGGAGCAAACAGGAUUAGAUACCCAGUAGUC
This 439-nucleotide ribosomal RNA is filed under the name uncultured bacterium. RNAcentral describes it as "partial 16S ribosomal RNA". It matches the Rfam family "Bacterial small subunit ribosomal RNA", at positions 338 to 795 of the family's 1533-position model. The record is from RNAcentral.